UUGGAGGGGUUGAUUUUGUUGACAAUAAUAUUAAACAUUUAGAAAACAUUAUAAGAAAGAACUCUAAAAAUACAAAUGCUAUUAGAUCAUGAUCUUAAACUAUGCCUACUUGUAGAUCCCAUUAAUUUAAUGGUUGAUAUGUAUUUUUAAAAAAACUUUUAUUAUAUUUUCUUCAUGUCUAGAAGAACGAUGGAGUCACUUUCCACCUUCAAGCCCUGGAAACUCAUGUCUAUUGGAAAUAGGAUCACUUUCCCUCAUGGUCACUAUCACAGGCUUAUAUGGCCACUGGUUCUGCACGGUUUGCCCAGUUCUUCGAGAACCCAGCCAUUACUAAUUACAGAACAGGGGCGAAGGCCAAUGUGGUAGGGUUCGCGCUAGAAGACGCAGCAUUACUUAAUGAACAAGCAUAAGAG
This is a long non-coding RNA of Populus euphratica (Euphrates poplar), 413 nucleotides long. RefSeq lists it as uncharacterized. The transcript is spliced from 2 exons. Lineage: Eukaryota; Viridiplantae; Streptophyta; Magnoliopsida; Malpighiales; Salicaceae. The record is from RefSeq and is a predicted model, not a curated record.